CUGCCUUCUCAUGCAAGUCUGUGCCGCCUCACACCUUGGCAGGAAUAUGGAUUUCAGAUGCCCGUGGCUUAAAAUUAUUUUUAAAUAUGGGUGGGUUUUGUAGAAUGCUUCUCAUCUCCAGGCUUUUUUAAUUUUGCAGUGCAGUGUGUGAUCAUCCUUUGAACACAGCGGCGAAUGUUGAAUGGCCCCACAGUCCUCUGAUAUUAAAUGCUCAAAUGCAUGUUUUUUUUCUUGGCAUAAUUACGGGAGCUGUGUUAAACUGCGCUCUGCAGCGACGCAACUGAGGACUGCAGCUGGGGGACUACAACUGGGGACUGCAGCUGGUUACUGCAACUGAGGACUGCAGCUGAGGACUGCAGCUGGUUACUGCAACUGAGGACUACAACUGAGGACUGCAGCAGGUUACUGCAACUGAGGACUGCAGCUGGGGCCUGCAGCUGGUUACUGCAACUGAGGACUGCAGCUGGGGACUGUAACUGAGAACUGCAGCUGGGGACUGCAGCUGGUUACUGCAACUGAGGACUGCAGCUGGGGACUGCACCGGUACCAUUCACAGUGCUGUGUUUUGCUUUUGUAGUUGCAGUGUGGAGUCACCUGGGGGCAUCUUGCUAAUGCACAGUACCACAUGGCUUUUAAAGUUCUGGAGUAGGUGUAAAUUCAGGAACUGGGAAUGUGCAUCGGUGGCUGCAUGGGAGAUGUGACUUUUCUGUGCCUGUGCCAGUGAUUUUGCUGAUGGUGCCCAGUGUCCUUCCGUCGUCAUGGGAAGACAGUUUCCUAGCUGCCUGUGGGAUGGCUCCGGAUACGCCCCCCCGGGCUGCACACUGAUGCUGUUUUCGAAAUCUCCCAAUGAUAUCUCUGGGUCCCGCUGCAUGUUUACGACGUCUGGCGCUGGCAUCCAUCUUCCUCCUCUUCCUCUCCCUCCCCUUCCUGCUCGCGGGAUAGGCCCGUGCUGUACUUCCUGAAGGGCGCAGCGGGAAAGGCAGCCCCACCCAUCCCAACAUGGCUCCGCCCACCGCGCCUCUAAUCCGGCCGGCCGAUGACCCAGGCUUGCUGGGUGGGGCAGACUCUCUCACCCCCUACCCUGACCCCCUGGCCAACUGAAAGUCCUGGACACUGGCAGGCCUGGUACCUUCUGGGGCGAGACCCGGAUCCGGGCCCUUGGUGGUCCUGGGACUGUCAGCUAAGAGUGAGCCCAGAGCAGACGGGCUCAUAACCUCAAAACCAAAACCGACUCCGCCGCCUGAUCUGCUACAAACGUUGCCGCACUUGUACCACAACACACCGUGUUUGUUUUGCUUUAUUUUUUUCACCAUCGCAGAUCGGUUUCGCACCAGGAAGGAUCCGAGCCAAGGCCCCCGUCUGUCUCCCUCCCAGGCGGCCGCAAACCCCCCCGGGAGAGUGGGAGGGGGCGUGCUUUCAGCUGCAGCACACACGUUUAUUUCCAUUGGUCGGCCUUGGCGAUGGCUCCGCCUCCAUGAGCUCAGCGAAACGUGUCCUGGCAACCAGAUGCCGAGUUAACCCCGGCCGUUAAUAAAGGGCAGGAAACAAAGGCUCGUGGGGGCGGUAACGAGAGGGGAACAUGGCCCUCCUUCCGGCAAGGCUGUUUCAAGCGCCCCCCCCCCCCCCGAUGACAUGCCAUGGGAUCCCACCAGCUAGCCCCCAGGGGCCAAUCGCACGCCUGCCCCUGUAGGAAGACACACCAUGCGUCUCGCUCCUCUCACUCCUGUAUGGCCCCCCCAUCGACUGGGACGGAAAUAGACAGGCUGUGCGGCUGGCCCCCCCCCACCAUUACAGUCUGCCUCCACAUGCACACACUGCACCGGGAUUUAACACCAGUGCCCCCCAACCAAUCAGCACAAUGAAACAUCAGACAUUAAGCAUAGAUUGUUUAUCGUUGACUUUCAUGUGAUUCAGUGACGCCCCCCCCCCACACACACACACUCAGGGGGGCACUAUGGCCCAGUUCUCAGAGCGUUGGGGGUUCGAAUCCCGCAUUUUCCGCUUGUGUUGCGUGGGCCUCCUGCAGGCACUGCAGCUUCCAGUUAGGCCAGCAAGCAUCACGAGAUUGUCAUCCAGGGCGUAUCGCAGCCGUGUUCUCCACGCAGCCAGGACACGGUCGGGAAAUAGCUGGAUGGAUGGAAACAUUAAUUAAUAAUAUGAGCACGCCUGGGGGGUGCAGCCAGUCGACGUUGGACCCCUAGAGGUUUUUUUUCCCCUACUAGGUUUUUAGUUUCUCUCUUCCGUUGUCAUCUGACUCUUUCUUUCUUUCUUUCUUUCAUUUGUUCGCAUUUCCCUUUCCUUUUCCCUCUUUUUGUAUUUUUCUGUCUUAAUGACGCUGUUAUGUAUCACAACACACCCCUGUAAAGCGCCUUGGGGUGACUCUGUCGUGAAAAGCGCUAAAUAAAUUGGAAGCUAAACACA
Molecule: long non-coding RNA, 2421 nt
Organism: Brienomyrus brachyistius
Lineage: Eukaryota; Metazoa; Chordata; Actinopteri; Osteoglossiformes; Mormyridae
Exons: 3
Source: RefSeq, a predicted model, not a curated record